Long non-coding RNA from Olea europaea var. sylvestris, 3082 nucleotides. RefSeq lists it as uncharacterized. NCBI's taxonomy places the organism in Eukaryota, Viridiplantae, Streptophyta, Magnoliopsida, Lamiales, Oleaceae. The record is from RefSeq and is a predicted model, not a curated record. The transcript has 6 exons.
UAGCGUUCCGAUCCACUAGGGGUCGGGGCGUUACAGUCUAGCUGUUCUAUUACUUAUUUUAUUUCUAACAUUUUAAAAAUACAAACAAAUUAAAGACAAGUCAUUGACGGACAAUGUUUCGCACAAUUUGAUGUGGCUCGCACGUGGCCCGAGAUGUCAAUCCAUGUCGUAUUUAGGUUUUAUCAUAAAUGGUCAUCGAUUUCACACUAAAGAUACAGAAAAAUCACGCCAAAACAGUGGCAUUUUAGUUGAAACGACAACUAUUUGUAGAUCCAAUGCAAUAGAUAAUGCACAUAUGGUUGGGAAAGUUCUUUACUAUGGAGUUUUACGUGAUGUUAUAGUUCUUGAUUAUAACACGUUUCAUGUUCCAAUAUGCAAGUGUGGUUGGGCAAAUAUUGUGAAUGGAAUAAAAAUGGAAGAUGGAUCAGAGUAAACCUUAACGAGGGACUUAGACAAUUUGAAAAUGAUCAUUUCAUCUUGGCAACACAGGUGAAACAAAUCUUUUAUUCAAUGGAGAAUGAAAUACUUAGUUGGUAUAUUGCUUUGCAAGCACCACCAAGAGACUUUCAUUUAAUAGACAUGGAAGCAAAUACUGCUUAUGAGGCAACUAUUUCACUAGAUAUAUCACGACAAAAUCUAGACGACCUUGAUGAGAUAAGAAUUAUGCAAAGGCAGAUGCUGAAAGCUUAUUAUGUGAUAUGUAGAGUAGUUUUGUAAUUAGCUUAUGUAUUUCGUUUUUUCAGCAUUAUUUUAACAUGCGACAUGCCUAAUAUUUUGAUAGAUGUUAAGAUCUAACCAUUAAUUAUUAUGACGUUACAAAUUUUUAUACUCUCUCUAGGUCAUCUUUCGAAUCAUUUGACAGUCGAAACAUAUUGUACAAAAUCUGAGGUAAUUGUGUUUUCUUAUAAUACAUAACAUAGUUGUUAAGUUUCAAAAAUGAGACUUUACGUUACACUUUUGUUUUCAUGUUGCAUUUUUAAAGUCCACUAAACGAGUUUCCAAGAAUUCUAAAGGACGGGUAGAUGCAAUUGCUGUGGCAAUUCGAGGGACCAAUAAGAGACUACUACUGUCGAGUGAACCAGAAAAUUCUAUAUCUUUCCCAAUUAAUGAUGAGCAAAACACGCAGUCAAUAAAUGUAAAUAUAGAAGCUCCGAAAAAAGAAAUGGGAUCCAACCUAAGUGAAAAUGAUUCCUGAAAGUAGUUAUUAGAAGAUUGAUCUCGAAUUCAAUGAAUAUGGGCAGGUAGUUGGUCGUAACUCAGAUAAACUUGCUAGCAUAAUUGGAGCCAUAGUACAAGAACAUGUGCCGGUUGUUUUUAAAGAUUGGCAUUCAGUUGAUGGAAAGAAAAAAAAUAGAACUUUGGAAUUUUAUACAGGUAUAUUUCUUAACUUCACUUUUGCAGAUUAUUAUGCUACAUUCUUUUAAGAUGGAAAGUUAUUUUAUAUAUAUAUAAAUACAACAUAGAUUCAACGUGAGUGAUUGUCAUAAAAAAGUAACAAUGCAAUGUAUGGGAAAGUAUUAGAGGACAUUCAAAUCAAGGUUAAGAAAACAAAUCAUAAGUCAAGUCGAAUUAUCUAUGAAGAGAGCUCGCAUUAUGGCCCUUUUUAGACCAAAGAAUGUUAAAUCUAAAGAAGUAUGGGAAAAAUUUGUCUAGGACACGCUUUCUGCCGAUAUUUUUGUAAGUAUUCUUGCCGUAUGAAGCUUCAACUUUUAAAUAGUUAUUGUUGUUUUAUAGUUUUUUUAAGAGGAAAAAAGUUCCAAGUUUAGGAACAUGAGAACAUCUUAGAAGCUUCUCCACACUAUGGGUCAAAAAGGCUAUUCACGCAUUGCUUAUGAAAUGAUAAAGAGGAAUCCAGAGAUAAAAAGGAUUGGAAACUAGAGUAUGGACUCAUGAACAUCUCAGAAAAGAUGGAAAAUUGAUAAAUGAAGCAAUUGCCGAAACUAUAAAAAUGAUCGAAGAGUGUGUCCAAUCAAUUUCUGAUACACCAGCGAAGACUCCAUCCGCGAGGAUGCUGUUGCUCGAGUCUAGGUCCUGAACGUAAUGGGAGAGUUAGAGGACUUUGAUUUGGAGUUGCACCGUCGAAAGUGAGUGGACAAAUUGAAAGUAACGUGAGAGUUAAAGAACUUGAAAGUGAAUUACAAACUCAGUCAUAAAGGGUGGGAGCGUUAGAAGAAAAAUGUUGAAGCACUUCUAAAGCUAUCUCAACAGAAUAUGGAGGAUAGGAGUUCACAUGCUUUCACUCCUCAGUCACACCAAGGAAGUGGUGUCUAAGGAAGUAUUGCAUCUAAGGAAAAUGUAAGGUGUCAACUAUUGCAGUGGUAUAUGUUUGAAGAGGAAGAAAUUGUAGUGGAAGGGAAGAUUGCAACAACAGACCCUAGUGCAAAGGUGCAUCACUUGCCACUUGGACGAGACUGUUGGAAGUUUUGGGUUGAGGGAGUGUGUAUGAGUAGUUUGACCUUAUACAGACCUACACUUGAACUUUGAACUCUUGGUGAAGCCAUGGGAAGUACUGUUAUUUGGCUGAAGAGCAGUAUUAUACUUAUUUGAUGAAGGCAAGAGGCGCCGAUGGAGGGCUUUUCUUUUGUAUGGUCCACCUGGAAUAGGGAAGUCUUAUUCAGCUAAGGCUGUUGUUACAGAAACAUGUCCAUGGGGUGAUGUGUUUUGGCCUCACGUAAACCUGUCUCUACUUUCAGUCGCUGUUGGCGCUGGCGCUCAGCUUGCAACUCUUGUUUUGCUCCUCAUCAUUUUAGCAAUUUUUGGAAUGCUGUAUAUAGGAUAUGUCUAAAACUUUUGAACGGUAAGAUUGAAGGGCUGUAAGAUAUGUGACAUAUAGGUAGGUCUGCUAGAUGUAACAUCUUUAGAAGCUUGCUUGCUUUUGUAUAGGUCAAUAUUUUUUAUAUUGUGUGAACCAGGAGAUGAGCAAUUGUCACAACCUUCACUGUAUGUAUAGCUGUUACAUCUUUCUUGCUGGUUAUGUUGGCGGUCGCAUUUAUUUGGGCAAUGGGGUAGUUUUGGCUUAAUGUAGAUUAUGUGAAGCUUACUUUGCUGACUUGAUGCUUCAAUAUUUGUGUCUUCAAGGUUC